GGCCUCGUAGCUCAGUUGCAUAGAGUAUUGGCUGUACUGAAGCCUUCCCCUUGCUGGCGUGGGUUCAAAUCUCACCGAGUCUG
This 83-nucleotide transfer RNA is filed under the name Schistocephalus solidus. It matches the Rfam family "tRNA". From Rfam's summary of the family: Transfer RNA (tRNA) molecules are approximately 80 nucleotides in length. Their secondary structure includes four short double-helical elements and three loops (D, anti-codon, and T loops). The record is from Rfam by way of RNAcentral. Lineage: Eukaryota; Metazoa; Platyhelminthes; Cestoda; Diphyllobothriidea; Diphyllobothriidae.